RNAcentral lists this long non-coding RNA (3187 nucleotides) under Piliocolobus tephrosceles (Ugandan red Colobus). RNAcentral describes it as "lncRNA (ENSPTEG00000011144.1)". The record is from RNAcentral. Lineage: Eukaryota; Metazoa; Chordata; Mammalia; Primates; Cercopithecidae.
GUACACAUACAUAUAUAUAUAUAUAUAUAUAUUUACAGUAAUAAUUCAUUGACAAAAAAAAAAAAAAUAAAAUAAAUAAAUAACAGAGAUUGAUGUGUGUCAUUUAUUCAUAUUAAUUAAUUAAAUUAUAUAUUAUAUGUUAUAUAUUCGAUAAAAUAUAUUAUAAGAAUUUUUUUUUUAUUAUAUGUGAAUAUAUAACAAAAAACUAGCAAUAAUAAUAACAUUGUUAUUACGUUAAUAAAUUUACAUAUAUAUAUAUAUAUAUAUAUAUAUACAUAUGUGCGCAAAAAAAAAAAAAAAAAAAUUUGAAUAGUUAACAUAAUGUAAAAAAUGGAGGAAAAAUUUAUACAAGCGCAAAUAACUUUGUUGUUUUAUUUUAUGCUUUUAUGCUAUUUCAAGAAUUUCACAUUUAGAUUGAUAGAUAUGCCAAGAAAAAUAUAUAAAUGCUUAAAAGUAUACUAUUCCUUUUUAAUAAUUGUUACCGCCGUUGUUUUCUUUAGUAAGUUGUUUUUUUUAGUACGUAUGUUUAUUGUACAGGUUUUGAAUAAAAUUGUUGAUACAUUAUCAAUUAAACACAAAAUAAAAAAAAAAAAAACAAAUAAGUGUAUUAAUCUUAAUAACAAAAAAGCUAUUUUAAAAAAUGCUGCAAAAAAAAGAGUAUCACAAGUUAUGGAUGUUAACAAAAAUGAGAGAAAAAACGAGGUAAUCAAAAAAACGUAUUUGUUGAAUAAUACAAUAAAUGAUUUUUAUUCGAAUGGAUUUAUAGAUAAUGGUAUUAUGAAUAAUGACUCAACUGGUACUGUUGAUGUUGUUAGUGGUAGUACCAGUGGUAGUACCAGGGAUAGCACUUACGAUAAUACUUAUGAUAGUGCCAGUGGUAAUACUAGUGGUAGUGCCAGUGGUAGUGCCAAUGGUAGUGCCAGUGGUAGUACCAGGGAUAGCACUUACGAUAAUACUUAUGAUAGUGCCACUGGUAGUGCCAGGGGUAGUGCUUAUGAUAGUACAAGCGACGUUCCCAGUGAUGGUGGUAUUAAUGUUAAAUAUAAUUUAAUAAAAUUUUUAAAAAUAACAAAAAUGGCCAAACAAAAAGAGAAUGACAAUAUUUUUAAUGAAUCAUUUUCCGAAACACAUAAAAAAAAAAAUUAUACUAUUUUGAAAAAAAAAACAUGUAUAAAUUUGGAAAAAAAAAAUAACAAUAUGAUGCAUGACACUUGUAAACAUAACAACUCGAGUUCUAUUGGUAGCGAAUACAUGACACAAAUAAAACAUCGUGGUCAAGAUGGAAAUGAAAUAUACAACAACAAUAAUAAUAAUAAUAAUAAUAAUAAUAAAGAUAAUAAUAAUAAAGAUAAUAAUAAUGUAUGUAAUAUAAAUGAUGCUUAUAAAAAAGAAAAUAUAAUUGACGGUGGUACUGUACAUGAUUUUGGUUGUACAUAUGACUGUUCUUCUGCAUAUGACAGUACAACUUCCUAUGACAGUACAACUUCCUGUGACAGUACAACUUCCUGUGACAGUACAACUUCCUGUGACAGUACAACUUCCUAUGAUAGUACAACUUCAUACGGUAGUGCAACUUCAUACGGUAGUGCAACUUCAUACGGUAGUGCAACUUCAUACGGUAGUGCAACUUCUUAUUAUGACGCCAUUAUGUAUAAUAGUUCCAUUUCAUGUGACAGUACAAACAUACUCGAAAUAAAUAAAGACCUAUUUUUUAAUAAUAUUUUAUAUAAAAUGAAAGACAUGAAUAUGCCUUCUGUUUUUGAGUAUAUAAUACGUAAUUCUAAAAAUUAUAUAAAAGGGCAUAAUUUAAUCAAAAAAAUGAAGAACUGUGAAAGUAAUGUUAAGGAUAGUUACACAAUUAAUAACGUACAACAUGAUAAAUUAAAAAAGAAUGGAAUAAUAUAUGAUGAUAUUAAUAAUAAUAAUAAUAAUGGCCCUGUUAAUAGCUCUGUCAUGUCGAAAGAAAAAAUAAAUUAUAAAUGCGAUUUGGGAGAGGGUGAAAAUAAUAACAAACAUGUAACAAAAGAAUCAACACGUUUUAAUAAUGAUUUUAAUAAUUUAAUUAAUAAUAAAAAUAAAGUAAUAAAAAAAAAUAACACAUUUAAUACUAUGACAGAAACAAAAACUGUAUUAAAAUCUAUUUUAAAGAAACCGAAAUCAGCAGAAGUUGAUAAUACAAAUGAAGAUAAACAAAUAAAGAUAAAACAUAAAAAUACAAAACAUGUACAAUUCAGUACAAAUAUAAAUACAUAUUAUUUUGAAAAAUAUAAUUAUGAAGAUAAUAUAUAUGGAUUAAAUAAUAUUAUUAUUGGUAAUAAACAUAAUUAUAAUAGAAAUAGUAAUAUUAAAAGAGAGAGUUUAUAUAAAGUACUUGAAUACGGUAUAAAUAAAAACGAUUUGUUUAGUUAUGAUGCAAUGCGAUAUAAUUUUAAUUCUUUACUAAAAAAAAUUGUUACUUUUGUUUAUGUCUAUAAAGAUUAAAUUGUCAAAUCCGACCGUACUUGACUAACUAAUGUUAUACUUUUUAAACAUGUGUAUAUACGUGCAUAUAUAUAUAUAUAUAUAUAUGUAUAUAUAUAUGUAUAUAUAUACCCCGUUAAACCUUAUUAAAUUCUAGUUUUGUACUCUCAAAUCUUAUUUAAUUAUAGUUUUCUUUUUUUUUUAAGUGUACGCAUAAAAUACGUUAUAAAAACACCUACAUAGUUAGGCUAAUUAGUUGUUGGCACAUAUGAAUUUUAUUUACUUUAAAUAAUAUGCUUAACAAAUUAUGACAUGAUUAGAGUUAUAUAUAUAUAUAUGUAUAUAUAACCAAAUAAUUUAAAAAAUUGUGUAUAAUUCAAAAUAGAAAAAAAGAAAAAAAAGAAAAAAAAAGUAGUACAUACAUACAAUAUACACAAUUGAUGGACACAAAACGAUGAUCAACUUUAUAUAUAAAUGUUUUUUUACUUGAUAAUAUUUUAUUAUUUUACUAUUUUUUUUAAAUAAUUUACUUUAUAGUAUUAUUUAUUUAUCUUUUUAUUUAUAUUAGCUAUAUUAGUUAUAUUAACUGUUCUAGUUGUAUAAACUAUUUUGGUUAUAUUAGCUAUUCUAGUUAUAUUGCUAAAUAGCUAUAUUUGUUAUACUAAUGUAUGUAUAAUUAUAUCAUUUAAAUUUUUAUUAUUAUUUCCAGAUUUUUUUUAUAGUUCCU